GCCCGGAUGGUGGAAUCGGUAGACACAAAGGGAUUUAAAAUCCCUCGGCGUUCGCGCUGUGCGGGUUCAAGUCCCGCUCCGGGUACCA
This 88-nucleotide transfer RNA is filed under the name Klebsiella pneumoniae. RNAcentral describes it as "tRNA-Leu". It matches the Rfam family "tRNA". Rfam says of the family: Transfer RNA (tRNA) molecules are approximately 80 nucleotides in length. Their secondary structure includes four short double-helical elements and three loops (D, anti-codon, and T loops). Further hydrogen bonds mediate the characteristic L-shaped molecular structure. tRNAs have two regions of fundamental functional importance: the anti-codon, which is responsible for specific mRNA codon recognition, and the 3' end, to which the tRNAs corresponding amino acid is attached (by aminoacyl-tRNA synthetases). tRNAs cope with the degeneracy of the genetic code in two manners: having more than one tRNA (with a specific anti-codon) for a particular amino acid; and 'wobble' base-pairing, i.e. permitting non-standard base-pairing at the 3rd anti-codon position. Lineage: Bacteria; Pseudomonadati; Pseudomonadota; Gammaproteobacteria; Enterobacterales; Enterobacteriaceae. The record is from RNAcentral.